Molecule: non-coding RNA, 1391 nt
Organism: Lontra canadensis (Northern American river otter)
Lineage: Eukaryota; Metazoa; Chordata; Mammalia; Carnivora; Mustelidae
Source: the annotation of a RefSeq genome assembly
UGUGCAGAAAGCCCACAGUGUCUCCACUGCUCAGCCAUGCUCCUGCUGCUCAUCUCAAUGCUUGACGUGAUUUUUGCCCCAAGAGGAACCGGAGCUCAGUCGGUGACCCAGCCCGAUGCCCAUGUCACUGUCUCUGAAGAAGCUGCUCUGGAGCUGAGGUGCAACUAUUCCUAUAGUGGAACUCCUUAUCUCUACUGGUACGUGCAGUACCCCAACCAAAGCCUCCAGCUUGUCCUCCGGUACUUUUCAGGGAACACCCUGGUUAAAGGCAUCAAAGGUUUUGAGGCUGAAUUUAGGAAGACUGAAUCCUCCUUCCACCUGAGGAAACACUCAGCGCAUGGGAGCGAUACGGCCGAGUACUUCUGUGCUGUGAGGGCAGGAGGAAGCUACAGACUUACAUUUGGAAGAGGUACCAGGCUUGUUGUUCAUCCCUAUAUCACAGACCCUGACCCCGCUGUGUACCAGCUGAGAAGCCCUAAAUCCAGUAAGAUCUCUGUCUGCCUGUUCACCGAUUUUGAUUCUGAGACCAAUGAGGAGCAAGCCCCAGAGUCCACGAUGAUCAGGCUAAACAGUACCGUGCUGGACAUGUGGUCGAUGAAUUCCAAGAGCAAUGGCGCCCUGGCCUGGAGCACCAGCACUGAUUUUAAAUGCAAUGAGACCUUCAACGAGGAAUUCUACUCCAGCUCAGACUUUUCCUGUGAUGCCACUUUGAUAGAGAAAAGCUUUGAAACAGAUAUGAGCCUAAACUUCCAAAACCUGUUCAUGAUCGGGCUGCGUGUCGUCCUCCUGAAAGUGGCUGGGUUUAACCUGUUCACGACGCUGCGGCUGUGGUCGCGCUGAGGUCACCAAGAACAUGAGAGCGCCUGGCACUCCCUCGCUCCUGGCUCCCGACCGUACCUCUUGCCCCUCUUCAAGCAGAGAGGCAGACUAUCUGCUCCCCUGAACAGAUAAGAAGGCUCCCUCUGCCUCUCUGGCCCCACUGGCAAUGGCCACCAGCUGGAUCCCACCAGAUACUCACCAUCAAGGUGCUGAAGAGCUGCCAAACCCUGCCUCUGCCCCCUUGGUUCCCUCACUGCUGCUUGUCACCACUGGACGCUCACAGCAAAGUCAGGGGGCCGCUGCGGAGAGACUCCCUGUCCCUUCUGAGACUGCCUCUUACAUCCCCUGUCCCCUAUCCUCCGGGAGAGGAACCCCCAGUAGGUCCUCUUGGCCUCUAGCUCCCGGAGAAGGUUGUGAGGAGUCCGUUUUUUUAAAUAAUUUCACAAAUAUGUAUACCCUUUUCCCCAAGAUGCGGGGGAAAUUAUUACGGAGACCCUGCUGUGCUGUGUAUCUGAGCCGCGUUGUAUAUCCUGCUACCCAUGACUUCAUUAAAGGCAAUUUGGAAGAGCCCA